RNAcentral lists this ribosomal RNA (253 nucleotides) under uncultured bacterium. Its description in RNAcentral is "partial 16S ribosomal RNA". It matches the Rfam family "Bacterial small subunit ribosomal RNA", at positions 524 to 777 of the family's 1533-position model. The record is from RNAcentral.
UACGAAGGGAGCUAGCGUUACUCGGAAUUACUGGGCGUAAAGCGUGCGUAGGCGGCAUGGUAAGUUGGAAGUGAAAGCCCCGGGCUCAACCUGGGAACUGCUUUCAAAACUGCCAAGCUAGAAUACUUGAGGGGAUGGCGGAAUUCCUAGUGUAGAGGUGAAAUUCGUAGAUAUUAGGAGGAACACGGAAGCGAAGGCGGCCAUCUGGCGAGAUAUUGACGCUGUUGCACGAAAGCGUGGGGAGCAAACAGGA